UACGGAGGGUGCGAGCGUUAUUCGGAAUUACUGGGCGUAAAGCGCGUGCAGGCAGGAAGGUAAGUCUGAUGUGAAAGCCCCGGGCUUAACCCGGGAAGUGCAUUGGAAACUGCUUUUCUUGAGUACUGGAGAGGAAGGGAGAAUUCCCGGUGUAGAGGUGAAAUUCGUAGAGAUCGGGAGGAACACCAGUGGCGAAGGCGCCCUUCUGGACAGUUACUGACGCUGAGACGCGAAAGCGUGGGGAGCAAACAGGAUUAGAUACCCUGGUAGUCCACGCUGUAAACGAUGAUCACUAGGUGUAGCGGGUACUCAUUCCUGCUGUGCCGUAGCUAACGCGUUAAGUGAUCCGCCUGGGGACUACGGUCGCAAGACUAAA
RNAcentral lists this ribosomal RNA (376 nucleotides) under uncultured bacterium. RNAcentral describes it as "bacterial SSU rRNA". It matches the Rfam family "Bacterial small subunit ribosomal RNA", at positions 524 to 898 of the family's 1533-position model. The record is from RNAcentral.